Molecule: ribosomal RNA, 875 nt
Filed under: uncultured bacterium
Lineage: Bacteria
Description: bacterial SSU rRNA
Rfam family: Bacterial small subunit ribosomal RNA
Source: RNAcentral
GAUGAACGCUAGCGGGAGGCUUAACACAUGGCAAGUCGAGGGGCAGCACGAGGUAGCAAUACUUUGGUGGCGACCGGCGCACGGGUGAGUAACGCGUAUGUAACCUACCCCUGUACUGGGGGAUAACCCGGAGAAAUUCGGACUAAUACCCCCAUAAUGAUAUUUAAAGGCAUCUUUGAAUAUUUAAAGUUUUAAUGGUACGGGUUGGGCAUGCGUAAGAUUAGCUAGUUGGUAGGGUAACGGCCUACCAAGGCUACGAUCUUUAGGGGUCCUGAGAGGGUGAUCCCCCACACUGGUACUGAGACACGGACCAGACUCCUACGGGAGGCAGCAGUGAGGAAUAUUGGUCAAUGGGCGCAAGCCUGAACCAGCCAUCCCGCGUGAAGGAAGAAGGCGCUAUGCGUUGUAAACUUCUUUUCCAGGGGAAUAAGAUUUUGUACGUGUACAAAACUGAAGGUACCCUGGGAAUAAGCAUCGGCUAACUCCGUGCCAGCAGCCGCGGUAAUACGGAGGAUGCAAGCGUUAUCCGGAUUUAUUGGGUUUAAAGGGUGCGUAGGCGGAAAAAUAAGUCAGUGGUGAAAACCUGCAGCUUAACUGUAGAAUUGCCAUUGAUACUGUUAUUCUUGAGUGUGGUCAAGGUAGGCGGAAUGUGUAAUGUAGCGGUGAAAUGCUUAGAUAUUACACAGAACACCAAUUGCGAAGGCAGCUUGCUGGGCCAUUACUGACGCUGAUGCACGAAAGCGUGGGGAGCGAACAGGAUUAGAUACCCUGGUAGUCCACGCCGUAAACGAUGAUCACUCGCUGUUAGCGAUACACUGUUAGCGGCUAAGCAAAAGCAUUAAGUGAUCCACCUGGGGAGUACGGCCGCAAGGCUG